RNAcentral lists this ribosomal RNA (634 nucleotides) under uncultured Lachnospiraceae bacterium. Its description in RNAcentral is "bacterial SSU rRNA". It matches the Rfam family "Bacterial small subunit ribosomal RNA", at positions 70 to 719 of the family's 1533-position model. Lineage: Bacteria; Bacillati; Bacillota; Clostridia; Lachnospirales; Lachnospiraceae. The record is from RNAcentral.
GAGAGAGAGCUUGCUUUCUCGAGCGAGUGGCGAACGGGUGAGUAACGCGUGAGGAACCUGCCUCAAAGAGGGGGACAACAGUUGGAAACGACUGCUAAUACCGCAUAAGCCCACGGUGCCGCAUGGUACAGAGGGAAUAGGAGCAAUCCGCUUUGAGAUGGCCUCGCGUCCGAUUAGCUAGUUGGUGAGGUAACGGCCCACCAAGGCGACAAUCGGUAGCCGGACUGAGAGGUUGAACGGCCACAUUGGGACUGAGACACGGCCCAGACUCCUACGGGAGGCAGCAGUGGGGAAUAUUGCACAAUGGGGGAAACCCUGAUGCAGCGACGCCGCGUGGAGGAAGAAGGUCUUCGGAUUGUAAACUCCUGUUGUUGGGGAAGAUAAUGACGGUACCCAACAAGGAAGUGACGGCUAACUACGUGCCAGCAGCCGCGGUAAAACGUAGGUCACAAGCGUUGUCCGGAAUUACUGGGUGUAAAGGGAGCGCAGGCGGGAAGACAAGUUGGAAGUGAAAUCUAUGGGCUCAACCCAUAAACUGCUUUCAAAACUGUUUUUCUUGAGUAGUGCAGAGGUAGGCGGAAUUCCCGGUGUAGCGGUGGAAUGCGUAGAUAUCGGGAGGAACACCAGUGGCGAA